This 343-nucleotide ribosomal RNA is filed under the name uncultured Escherichia sp. RNAcentral describes it as "bacterial SSU rRNA". It matches the Rfam family "Bacterial small subunit ribosomal RNA", at positions 1038 to 1381 of the family's 1533-position model. Lineage: Bacteria; Pseudomonadati; Pseudomonadota; Gammaproteobacteria; Enterobacterales; Enterobacteriaceae. The record is from RNAcentral.
GUGCUGCAUGGUGUCGUCAGCUCGYGUUGUGAAAUGUUGGGUUAAGUCCCGCAACGAGCGCAACCCUUAUCCUUUGUUGCCAGCGCUCCGGCCGGGAACUCAAAGGAGACUGCCAGUGAUAAACUGGAGGAAGGUGGGGAUGACGUCAAGUCAUCAUGGCCCUUACGACCAGGGCUACACACGUGCUACAAUGGCGCAUACAAAGAGAAGCGACCUCGCGAGAGCAAGCGGACCUCAUAAAGWGCGUCGUAGUCCGGAUUGGAGUCUGCAACUCGACUCCAUGAAGUCGGAAUCGCUAGUAAUCGUGGAUCAGAAUGCCACGGUGAAUACGUUCCCGGGUCUG